This is a non-coding RNA of Malus domestica (apple), 2158 nucleotides long. NCBI's taxonomy places the organism in Eukaryota, Viridiplantae, Streptophyta, Magnoliopsida, Rosales, Rosaceae. The record is from RefSeq and is a predicted model, not a curated record.
CAGAAGCCAUUCAGAGUAAAAACAAAAAACCAGAAAAUAUGAGAACCAAAACUCUGAACGUCCCCUCCGCCCUGCUCUGCUUCUUCUUUCUCAGCUGCCACCACCUCCUCCGCCAUGCACAAGCUCAAGUUCCCAGCACAGAAGGAUACACCUGCGCAGCCACAGCCAACCAAACCGCCUACCCAUGCCAGACCUACGCCUUGUACCGAGCCCUCUCCCCCGACUUCCUCGACCUCGCCGCCGUCGGAGACCUCUUCCAAGUCAGCCGCCUCAUGAUCUCCAACCCCAGCAACAUCUCCUCCCCGACUGCCCCCCUUGUCGCCGGCCAACCCCUCUUCGUCCCCCUCUCAUGCUCCUGCAACUCCCCCAACUCCUCCAUCUCCAUUUCCUACGCCAAUAUCUCCUUCACCAUCAAAUCCGGCGAUACUUUCUACCAGGUCUCCACCCACAACUUCCAAAACCUCACCACCUACCAGUCCGUCGAGGUCGUAAACCCUAAUCUGGAAGCCACCAACCUAACCAUCGGCGUCACCGCCUAUUUUCCGAUCUUCUGCAAGUGCCCCAACAGAACCCAGUUCGGAAACGGAACCAAUUACCUCAUCUCGUACGUUUUCCAGCCGUCUGACAACAUCUCGACCGUUGCUUCAUUUUUCGGGGUGCAAGCAAAGGCCAUAACCGAUUUAACGGCAACAACAUCCAGCCUUUUGACACGAUUUUCGUGCCGGUGGCUCGCCUUCCAGUACUCUCCCAACCCACUGUUGUUCCUUCUGCUGCACCGUCUGGGAAGACAGAGAGGAAAGGAGUGAUCAGAGGGCUGGCAAUUGGGCUGGGAAUUACCGGACUUGUGCUGAUUUUCGUUGUCGGGUUUUUGAUUUACAGAGACGGAUUGCUGAAGAAGAAGAUUGAUGGGAAGGGAGAUGAGGAGAAUAAGGUUCUGUACAGGAGCAAGCAGGGGUCGGAGAGGCGGAAGGAAAUGGAGGUUGGUUUGAUGGCGGAUGUUUCGGAUUGCUUGGACAAGUACAAAGUGUUUGGGAUUGAAGAGUUGAGAGAGGCCACAGAUGGGUUCAGAGAAAGUAGCUUGAUUGAAGGGUCCGUGUAUAAAGGCUCCAUUAAUGGAGAUUUGUAUGCCAUCAAGAAGAUGAAGUGGAAUGCCUACGAGGAGCUCAAGAUUUUGCAAAAGGUAAACCAUGGCAAUUUGGUGAAGCUGGAGGGUUUCUGCAUAGACUCGGAGGAUGAUUGUUGCUAUCUAAUUUACGAGUAUGUAGAAAAUGGUUCUCUUUAUUCAUUGCUGCAUGAAAACAAGAAUGAAAAAUUGAGUUGGAAGACAAGGCUGCAAGUUGCUAUUGACGUUGCAAACGGUCUCCAAUACAUUCACGAGCACACUAGGCCGAGGGUUGUGCACAAAGACAUCAAGAGCAGCAAUAUUCUCUUAGAUUCGAACAUGAGAGCCAAAAUAGCCAAUUUUGGGCUAGCAAAGUCUGGUUGCAAUGCCAUAACAAUGCACAUUGUUGGAACUCAAGGCUACAUUGCACCAGAGUAUCUAGCUGACGGGGUGGUGUCAACGAAAAUGGAUGUUUUUUCUUUUGGAGUGGUGUUAUUAGAGCUCAUUUCGGGGAAGGAGGCGAUUGAUGAAGAUGGAAAUGUUUUGUGGACAAGUGCUGGUAGGAUUUUGGAGGGAAAUGAGGAAGAGAAGGCAAGGAAACUCAGGGAGUGGGUGGACAAUGAACUUUUCUUGGAGUCAUGCUCAAUUGAGAGCAUACUGAAUGUUGUGACUGUUGCCAUUGCUUGUUUGCAUAAAGAUCCUUCAAAAAGGCCAACUAUGGUGGAUAUUGUCUAUGCCUUGAGUAAGAGUGAUGAUUUGUUUUUUGACAUCUCCGAUAAUGGAUCAUCGGCUCCCCCAGUAAGAGCAAGAUGAAUGGCGAGGAACUCUUUUGGCUUUCAUCACAUUUAGGGAAGGCAAGGGUUAGAGUCGAAUUCUUGCCGUGUCUAAGUAUUUAUUAUGUACCUGUAAAUAAAUGUCAUGUAUCUGGCAUUUUCGGGCAUGUGUUCGUACUCGUAAUAUUUUUAUCAUGGUGAGUAAAAUCUGUUAAUUACUGCUCAAGUGGUAGGAAAAAAAUCAUUUGGAGCAAAAACUCAAAUUCAAGAGCUAUGCAACCAA